UUUGUUUGCAAUAUGGAUAGCUGAUAUUAUCUACAAAAUUAACAAAUACAAUUAAAUGAAGAGUAGAAGCUCGGAAAAUCUAGUGCUGGAAAACCCAUCGGAAAGCAUGUGCGUGUGCUUUUCACUAAAGUUCUUAACAUUUUUUUUCUGCGUUGCUUUUUACAGAGCUUCUUAGCAGGAUGACUGAGAGGCAAAUGGACGAAUAUGAAGCAUUUAGUGAUGGAUGCAGGUUUGCCGACAUAAAAGCCUUUUUUGUUUUGUGCUGUGGGCAAGACAAAUAAGUACGCAUGAUAUUGAUGGAGACUCAUAAGAUGAGAAGAACAGGGUCGAUCCUUUUGCCUUGUCCAUGGAAACACCCAUGAGUUUCACCUGAUCACCUGUGAAAAACGUCAUACUUCGCCUGAUCAGCAAGUGGCAGGCAACAACUUUAACAUUCAUUUGUUGAUACAGUAAUUCUAUAUUCAGAAGUAGAAACAUAAGCUUAUGUAGUUGCCGAUCAAGUAUAGAGUAAUUCCAAAUUCAGAAGUAGAAAUCCACAAAAUUGGUUGUGUUAAAAUAAUUCUUGUAAGCAAACAAAAAAUGGCAGUUUGUAGGCAAAAAUCUCACCUGCAGUUCCAUAUCCAAUUCCAAUAUAUGAGACUGAGUGCAAGUAUAUACCAAGAAAAAAAUCAAGAGUGAAAGCAGGUAUUUUUUACCAACCUAUAUAUGCAAGAAAUGCAUAUCGCUGAGUUUGUAUCUUCUAACCCUCUCUUCAUCUCUACUUGAAAACUUGUCAAAAAGAGAACAUAUGCCCAAAAUUCUCCUAGUUUGACUGACUGCAUAGGUCACGGUUAUUUGUGAGCACAUUGAGCAUUCUCCAACACUUGAUGGACCCC
Molecule: long non-coding RNA, 875 nt
Filed under: Hordeum vulgare
Lineage: Eukaryota; Viridiplantae; Streptophyta; Magnoliopsida; Poales; Poaceae
Description: long non-coding RNA (HVUL_LNC008989)
Source: RNAcentral